This 253-nucleotide ribosomal RNA is filed under the name uncultured bacterium. Its description in RNAcentral is "partial 16S ribosomal RNA". It matches the Rfam family "Bacterial small subunit ribosomal RNA", at positions 524 to 776 of the family's 1533-position model. The record is from RNAcentral.
UACAGAGGGUGCGAGCGUUAAUCGGAAUUACUGGGCGUAAAGCGUGCGUAGACGGUUAUUUAAGUCGGGUGUGAAAGCCCCGGGCUCAACCUGGGAAUUGCAUUCGAGACUGAAUAGCUAGGGUACGGUAGAGGGAAGCGGAAUUUCCGGUGUAGAGGUGAAAUUCGUAGAUAUUCGCAAGAACACCAGUGGCGAAGGCGGCUCACUGGCCCGGUACUGACGCUGAGGUGCGAAAGCGUGGGGAGCAAACAGG